This 240-nucleotide unclassified non-coding RNA is filed under the name soil metagenome. Its description in RNAcentral is "partial contains 5.8S ribosomal RNA, internal transcribed spacer 2, and large subunit ribosomal RNA". The record is from RNAcentral.
AACAUCGCGCACCUGCGGGAACCUGCGGAGGGAUCAUUACAGAGUUGCAAAACUCCCUAAACCAUUGUGAACGUUACCUAAACCGUUGCUUCGGCGGGCGGCCCGGGUCCUUCCCGGCGCCCCUCGGCCCUCGCGGGCGUCCGCCGGAGGUAAACCAAACUAUUGCAUUGUAUGGCCUCUCUGAGUCUUCCGUACUGAAUAAGUCAAAACUUUCAACAAUGGAUCUCAGAUCGGAAGAGC